Molecule: ribosomal RNA, 439 nt
Filed under: uncultured bacterium
Lineage: Bacteria
Description: partial 16S ribosomal RNA
Rfam family: Bacterial small subunit ribosomal RNA
Source: RNAcentral
CUACGGGGUGCACCAGUGAGGAAUAUUGCACAAUGGGGGGAACCCUGAUGCAGCAACGCCGCGUGGAGGAUGACGCAUUUCGGUGUGUAAACUCCUUUUAUAUGUCAAGAAAAUGACGGUAGCAUAUGAAUAAGCACCGGCUAACUCCGUUCCAGCAGCCGCGGUAAUACGGAGGGUGCAAGCGUUACUCGGAAUCACUGGGCGUAAAGGACGCGUAGGCGGGUUGGAAAGUCAGGUGUGAAAUCCUACAGCUUAACUGUAGAACUGCACUUGAAACUUCUAAUCUAGAGUAUGGGAGGGGGAGAUGGAAUUAGUGGUGUAGGGGUAAAAUCCGUAGAUAUCACUAGGAAUACCUAAAGCGAAGGCGAUCUCCUGGAACAUUACUGACGCUAAGGCGUGAAAGCGUGGGGAGCGAACAGGAUUAGAUACCCGGGUAGUC